GAGGGUAGAGUUCGGUGGUAGAGUGUGUGCUUAAUAAGCAUGAGGUCCUGGGUUCAAUCGCCAGUACCUCCA
Transfer RNA from Camelus ferus (Wild Bactrian camel), 72 nucleotides. It matches the Rfam family "tRNA". Rfam says of the family: Transfer RNA (tRNA) molecules are approximately 80 nucleotides in length. Their secondary structure includes four short double-helical elements and three loops (D, anti-codon, and T loops). NCBI's taxonomy places the organism in Eukaryota, Metazoa, Chordata, Mammalia, Artiodactyla, Camelidae. The record is from Rfam.